UACGUAGGUGGCAAGCGUUAUCCGGAUUUAUUGGGUGUAAAGGGCGUGUAGGCGGGGACGCAAGUCAGAUGUGAAAACUCAGGGCUCAACCCUGAGCCUGCAUUUGAAACUGUGUUUCUUGAGUGCUGGAGAGGCAAUCGGAAUUCCGUGUGUAGCGGUGAAAUGCGUAGAUAUACGGAGGAACACCAGUGGCGAAGGCGGAUUGCUGGACAGUAACUGACGCUGAGGCGCGAAAGCGUGGGGAGCAAACAGG
RNAcentral lists this ribosomal RNA (253 nucleotides) under uncultured bacterium. RNAcentral's name for it is "partial 16S ribosomal RNA". It matches the Rfam family "Bacterial small subunit ribosomal RNA", at positions 524 to 776 of the family's 1533-position model. The record is from RNAcentral.